UAGGGAAUCUUCGGCAAUGGACGAAAGACUGACCGAGCAACGCCGCGUGAGUGAAGAAGGAUUUCGGAUCGUAAAAAUCUGUUGUUAGAGAAGAACAAGGACGUUAGUAACUGAACGUCCUCUGACGGUAUCUAACCAGAAAGCCACGGCUAACUACGUGCCAGCAGCCGCGGUAAUACGUAGGUGGCAAGCGUUGUCCGGAUUUAUUGGGCGUAAAGCGAGCGCAGGCGGUUUCUUAAGUCUGAUGUGAAAGCCCCCGGCUCAACCGGGGAGGGUCAUUGGUAACUGGGAGACUUGAGGGCAGAAGAGGAGAGUGGAAUUCCAUGUGUAGCAGUGAAAUGCGUAGAUAUAUGGAUGAACACCAGUGGCGAAGGCGGCUCUCUGGUCUGUAACUGACGCUGAGGCUCGAAAGCGUGGGGAGCAAACAGG
RNAcentral lists this ribosomal RNA (429 nucleotides) under Gemmatimonadota bacterium. Its description in RNAcentral is "Gemmatimonadetes bacterium partial 16S ribosomal RNA". It matches the Rfam family "Bacterial small subunit ribosomal RNA", at positions 355 to 776 of the family's 1533-position model. The record is from RNAcentral. Lineage: Bacteria; Pseudomonadati; Gemmatimonadota.